Long non-coding RNA from Pan troglodytes (chimpanzee), 1283 nucleotides. RefSeq lists it as uncharacterized. Lineage: Eukaryota; Metazoa; Chordata; Mammalia; Primates; Hominidae. The transcript has 2 exons. The record is from RefSeq and is a predicted model, not a curated record.
AUGAUCUCAUUGUAAAAACUUGGAGAGAACUCAGCAAAGAUCUUUAUGGGCCUCUCUGUGUAGUGUUUCUUUCAUCCAGGUAUAGAUAGGGUAGGACACCAGUUAAAUGAGGUUCUUAUGACCUAUUUUGAGGAGAAGUAAGCCAGAUAAUUCCUUUAUGGCUGGCUCUCACAAAGGAAAGAGAGGGGAAGGCAGAGAGGGACUCCAAGGUGCUAUAUUUUGGGACAGCAUGUUCUGACUCCAAGGUGUUGUAUUUUGAGAUAGCAUGUUCUGAGCCCUGGCACAAGUAAAUUUAAUGAUCCUUGAGAUUGGAGACCCUCCUUGAUAGGAUAGAAAUGUACCUUCUGUCUGUGUCCUGGACUGGUGGUCCACUAUGCAGGUUCAUAAGAUUCCUGGCAUAAAUUACUUCUUCCUUUCCCUCCUUUCUCUCUCUCUCUCUCUUUUUUUCUUCUUGGAAUAACAACAUAAUAUGAGUAAUUAAUAAGAAAGAAAACAAAUUAUAUCAGUCAUUAUUCAGCGUUAGAAUAAACUAAAAUUAAAUAGAUGUCUCUGAGUGCUUCAGCAUAUGAAUAUUAUCAACCACUGUAUGUGGUUAUUGAUGUGUGCUUUACUACAGUGAGUAUGUUUCUGUGUAUGUAUAUAAUAUAUAUUAUGUUUGUAUGAAUGUAUAUAAUAUUUAAAUAUUUUAAUAUGGAAAUAAAUCAUUGCCUUCAGCACACUGAUUACAAAUCAAUUCAUAUCUCAAUUAAAUUGAGUUGUAAGUCACACAGUUGAUUACCCCAAAGAGCUCAUUAUAAAUGCAUAUGACUCUUAAUGGCUCCAAUGAGAAGAGAGCCCUUCACUCGUGAUGAAUGUUACCACUUUAAUUGAAACAAGGUUACCUUUGGCAUUAAGGUACAUAAGACGCUCUCAAAGCAGUUAUGGUUUUAUAAAUUUAAAUUAGGAUGUUCUGGUCAGAACAGUUUUCUAAAAUUAGAUUGGAGAAUGGGACAGAUGUAAAUAGGGUUCCUCUACACAAAGAAAUAUGAUUGUAAGACAUUACUUUUGUGAUGUGUUUUUAACAGUUUUAUCUUUCUGUAAUUAUAGUUAAUUUUGGAAGCUACUGUUUUGUCAUCAAAUGCUACCGUUGCUCUAGAUGACAUCAGUGUGUCCCAGGAAUGUGAAAUUUCCUAUAAAUCACUACCAAGGACCAGUACACAAAGCAAGUGAGCUGAAUGGACUAAUCAAGAAAAAUUUGGGUCACAUGAUUCUGGAUUGAGACGAUUAAAGAACUUUUAAUUAAA